Molecule: ribosomal RNA, 856 nt
Filed under: uncultured Flavobacteriaceae bacterium
Lineage: Bacteria; Pseudomonadati; Bacteroidota; Flavobacteriia; Flavobacteriales; Flavobacteriaceae
Description: bacterial SSU rRNA
Rfam family: Bacterial small subunit ribosomal RNA
Source: RNAcentral
AGCGGCAGGCCUUAUACAUGCAAGUCGAGGGGCAGCAUAGAUUGCUUGCAAUCUGAUGGCGACCGGCGAACGGGUGCGUAACGCGUAUGCAACUUACCUUUUACUAGGAGAUAGCCAAGAGAAAUUUUGAUUAAUAUCCUAUACAAUUAUUUUUUCGCAUGAAUCAAUAAUAAAAGCUCAGGCGGUAAAAGAUGGGCAUGCGUCCUAUUAGCUAGUAGGUGAGGUAAAGGCUCACCUAAGCAACGAUAGGUAGGGGUCCUGAGAGGGAGAUCCCCCACACUGGUACUGAGACACGGACCAGACUUCUACGGAAGGCAGCAGUAAGGAAUAUUGGACAAUGGAGGCAACUCUGAUCCAGCCAUGCCGCGUGCAGGAAGACGGCCUUAUGGGUUGUAAACUGCUUUUAUACAGGAAGAAACCUGCUCACGUGUGAGCAGCUGACGGUACUGUAAGAAUAAGGAUCGGCUAACUCCGUGCCAGCAGCCGCGGUAAUACGGAGGAUCCAAGCGUUAUCCGGAAUUAUUGGGUUUAAAGGGUCCGCAGGCUGUUUGUUAAGUCAGAGGUGAAAUCCUACCGCUCAACGGUAGAACUGCCUUUGAUACUGACAAACUUGAGUUAUUGUGAAGUAAUUAGAAUGUGUAGUGUAGCGGUGAAAUGCAUAGAUAUUACACAGAAUACCGAUUGCGAAAGCAGAUUACUAACAAUAUACUGACGCUGAGGGACGAAAGCGUAGGUAGCGAACAGGAUUAGAUACCCUGGUAGUCUACGCCGUAAACGAUGGUCACUAGCUGUUCGAUAUACAUUGGUAUGUUGAGUGGCUAAGCGAAAGUGAUAAGUGACCCACCUGGGGAGUACG